UGAACCUCAACAACGACCCCUACUUUUCUGGGCCCUAAUUUAUUCAAAGAACACUACAUGUCACAUGAAUUCAAAAUUACUUCUCUGGAGAUAUUCUCCAUGUUUGAUGGCCAUGACCGAGGUUUGAUGUUUUUGUAUUUGCUGGGAUUUGAUAGGACCAGGAGUCCAGGACCAUGAUACUCGUAGUAUUGUUCCAUGGCACCGACAGGCCUAUUGUUUGCUGCUUGUGAUGAUUGACAGAGGUUUUGGGUCUAUGUUUAAGCCUCGGUGAGGUUUUGGGUCUCUGUUUAAUCCUUGGUUCAUGAGGAUCCAUAUAUAGUGAAACAUAUCACAUGCUCAGCAAGAAAACAAAGUCUCAGCCUACUACCUGCAAGACUUUAGUCUUUAAUGACUAAAUGAACGGAUCACAUGAUACAUAGAUGGGGAAUGCCAUUGCUCAAAGGCGAGCAUACGUGACCUUGUUGAAGGAGUUUUGCCCUCCGUUUGUGUCUCAAAUGUCGAUGAUGCCCUCUGUGCUAUCACUCGCAUGUCCUUUUUAUUUUGUUUAUUCAGCGAAUGUUGGAUUAGACAAGGAUUUAUUCACGUUGGAUCUGUACAACUAUGGACUAUUCAUGCAAUUUUUUAUUCAAACUUUGAAAUGAGAGAAUUGGAUGCUGGGUUGUUGCAUGUUUUU
Molecule: long non-coding RNA, 673 nt
Organism: Triticum dicoccoides
Lineage: Eukaryota; Viridiplantae; Streptophyta; Magnoliopsida; Poales; Poaceae
Exons: 6
Source: RefSeq, a predicted model, not a curated record